AGCUCGUGUCGUGAGAUGUUGGGUUAAGUCCCGCAACGAGCGCAACCCUUGUCUUUAGUUGCCAUCAUUAAGUUGGGCACUCUAGAGAGACUGCCAGGGAUAACCUGGAGGAAGGUGGGGAUGACGUCAAAUCAUCAUGCCCCUUAUGCUUAGGGCUACACACGUGCUACAAUGGGUAGUACAGAGGGUUGCCAAGCCGUAAGGUGGAGCUAAUCCCUUAAAGCUACUCUGAGUUCGGAUUGAAGGCGUAACCUGGCCGACAUGAAGCUGGGGUUACUAGUAAUCGCAGAUUAGAAUGCCGCGGUGAGUGCGUGCCCGGGGCUUGUACACGCCGCCGGUCACACCACGGGAGUUGGAGACGCCCGAAGCCGAUUAUCUAACCUGUUGGAAGAAGUCGUCGAAGGUGGAAUCAAUAACUGGGGUGAAGUCGUAACAAGGUAGCCGUAUCGGAAGGUGCGGCUGGAUCACCUCCUUUCUAAGGA
This 482-nucleotide ribosomal RNA is filed under the name Clostridioides difficile. RNAcentral's name for it is "bacterial SSU rRNA". It matches the Rfam family "Bacterial small subunit ribosomal RNA", at positions 1057 to 1533 of the family's 1533-position model. Lineage: Bacteria; Bacillati; Bacillota; Clostridia; Peptostreptococcales; Peptostreptococcaceae. The record is from RNAcentral.